Long non-coding RNA from Triticum aestivum (bread wheat), 1932 nucleotides. RefSeq lists it as uncharacterized. The transcript is spliced from 3 exons. NCBI's taxonomy places the organism in Eukaryota, Viridiplantae, Streptophyta, Magnoliopsida, Poales, Poaceae. The record is from RefSeq and is a predicted model, not a curated record.
CCUCUCUCGCACAACACACACAUUAAACCUAAAUCGCCGCCGCCGCCGCCCCCGACCUGCCCGCAGAUUUGCUUGCGUCGCCGCCUCCCCCACCCCAGCAUCCCAUCCCUUGGCCCGUCAUAUGGUCCUGUGUGUUGGCCCGUCAUCCACUGCCGAGGAGCUGCUGCCCCGUCUGCAGCCAAGGAGCCACCGCCCGCCUAGGAGAUGGCGAGGAGGCAACUGCAGUUCUGGAGUCGCCCCGCCUUUCUUCUUCCUCCACCAGCGACCCCUGUCCAGAUCCACCGCAGGAGAAAAGAUGGAAGGAACAAGAGGUGGAAGUGAGCUCCCUACAUAUGAACAAUCUAGGCUUGCAAGUAUUGCAGAAAACAAAAGGAAGUUGAGAGCUCUUGUUGAAAUAAAAAGAAAAUAUUUAGCAUUGGGAGAAAACACGAGGCCCUCUUGGGAAGUAGGCGGCCCGUCCUAGCGAGCCAAGAAGAAAGUUUAUUCAGAGUUGUCAUUGCUACAUGUAGCUGGUAUCAAGAGUUAUGCUCGUAGCAGGCAUGAAUUGGCUGAAGAACUUGGCUAUGACCCGCAGAGAGAUGAAAUAUUUGUCAGAGAACAUAUACAUAAAAUUGGAGUUCCUACCGCACAAGCAGAGACACAAAUUGUUAGUCACACAUACACAUCAUGUGUUUUUCUUUAGUACAGCCAUGCACGUGACUGCAUAUCAAUUGAUGACAAGUAUAGACUGCACCGACUUCAUUGUGGAAAUAAAUUAGGUGCCUCAUUUGCUUUUUUUUGGAGAAACAACCUGAAGAAGCAGCUGAACCACCACCAACACUUGCAAUUGAAAUUCAAUUUCGUCGACAAGAUGAACAAGUUUCUACUCUACUAGAGGGCACGGAACAAAUGCAAUGCCAAAUUGGAGAGAUGCAUCAAGUUCUCUUUUCUCAAGGAAUCGGAAAUGUGGAAACACCAAGUAUUAUUCUUGUCAAGUUUUUUCCAUGAGAUGACACUGCUAUGUUUCGUUUGAUCUUUGGGUCAGGAAGACAUAGGUUCAGAAUGGGGAAAAAGGUCCUCAGUUUGAACUAAAGACUACUCCCUCCGUAAAGAAAUAUAAGAGUGUUUAUAUCACUAAAGUAGUGAUCUAAAGGCUGAUCUUAUAUUUCUUUACAGGGGGAGUAUUAUUUUUCUUUUGGGCAAUCUUUGUAUUUUUCUUGUCAGGUUUCAUGUUUCAUAACUAAACACAUACAGUGCAGUUUGUAGUGUCAUUAUAAAUAGAUGAUGCAUCAGGCUACUAGAGUAUCUAGUUUCUAUCAGAAAUAUAUAAGAAUUAAGGGCAUGAUAAGGUGAUACUAAAUCUGGGUUAUAGCAGAAUGUAGAAUGUUGGGUUUCUAUGUUUAUAUGUUUAUAUCUGGGUUAUAUCAGAAAUAUAUAAGAAUUAAGGGCAUGAUAAGGUGAUACUAAAUCUGGGCUAUGCUGACUUUGGUUUAUAUUCUAAUAAGGUUAUCUUUUGUAAUUCGAAUCUUUUCUUUAUAACUAUAGCGUGCAUGAACCGCAGUGACAUGCAUAAUUUUUAUUUGAGAGUUCAGGCAAUCAAGUAUCAGUUUACUUUUCUUGUACGCAAGUUGGUAUGUUGUACAUCUUCUGUUUCUUAGACCUUUGGACUCAAAGGCAACUCAUGAAUUCAAAUACAUUGUAUUAUUUCAAAUAUUGCUGAAACAUAUGAGUUCUUUUGUAGGGACAAAUGGUGGAGAGUAGCAAGUCCACUAGUUGAUCAAAGAUGUUCUCGUGAUUGCUUUUAUUGAGAACAUGGAUGACACAUUUUGGUCAUAUGGAAGUUGAUUUGGUUUGGCGAUUGAAGAGUUUGUCUUCCAUAAUAUUCUGUAGCAAUAGCAGUCCAGUGAACAAGCACUUGGUCUCUUAUGAACUUUGGCCAUUAUUUUUGUAACA